Molecule: ribosomal RNA, 406 nt
Filed under: uncultured bacterium
Lineage: Bacteria
Description: partial 16S ribosomal RNA
Rfam family: Bacterial small subunit ribosomal RNA
Source: RNAcentral
AUUGAACGCUGGCGGCAGGCUUAACACAUGCAAGUCGAGCGAGCGGCGGACGGGUGAGUAAUGUCUGGGACACUGCCUGAUGGAGGGGGAUAACUACUGGAAACGGUAGCUAAUACCGUAUCCCAUCAGAUGCCCCCAGAGGGGAUUCGCUAGUAGGUUGGGUAAUGGCGCACCUAGGCGACGAUCCCUAGCUGGUCUGAGAGGAUGACAAGCGACACUGGAAAUGAGACACGGGCCAGACUCCGAUGGGAGGCAGCAGUGGGGAAUAUGGCACAAUGGGCGCAAGCCUGAUGAAGCCAGGCCGCGUGUGUGAAGAAGGCCUUCGGGUUGUAAAGCACUUUCAGCGAGGAGGCGUUAAUCGCAGAAGAAGCACCGGCUAACUCCGUGCCAGCCGCCGCGGUAAUUC